GAGUUUGAUCUUGGCUCAGAGCGAACGCUGGCGGCAGGCCUAACACAUGCAAGUCGAACGGACCCUUCGGGGUCAGUGGCGGACGGGUGAGUAACACGUGGGAACGUGCCCUUUGGUUCGGAACAACUCAGGGAAACUUGAGCUAAUACCGAAUGUGCCCUUCGGGGGAAAGAUUUAUCGCCAUUGGAGCGGCCCGCGUCUGAUUAGCUAGUUGGUGGGGUAAUGGCCUACCAAGGCGACGAUCAGUAGCUGGUCUGAGAGGAUGAUCAGCCACAUUGGGACUGAGACACGGCCCAAACUCCUACGGGAGGCAGCAGUGGGGAAUCUUGCGCAAUGGGCGAAAGCCUGACGCAGCCAUGCCGCGUGAAUGAUGAAGGUCUUAGGAUUGUAAAAUUCUUUCACCGGGGACGAUAAUGACGGUACCCGGAGAAGAAGCCCCGGCUAACCUCGUGCCAGCCGCCGCCGU
RNAcentral lists this ribosomal RNA (466 nucleotides) under uncultured Alphaproteobacteria bacterium. Its description in RNAcentral is "bacterial SSU rRNA". It matches the Rfam family "Bacterial small subunit ribosomal RNA", at positions 9 to 521 of the family's 1533-position model. Lineage: Bacteria; Pseudomonadati; Pseudomonadota; Alphaproteobacteria. The record is from RNAcentral.